GGGGGCUUUGACAAAAAUACAGAAUUUGUACUUAAUGUUCCAUUUGUGCACUACAAUCCCACAUUCAAUAUUUGGCUUAACUGGAGUAUCUAUCAAACUGAG
This is a long non-coding RNA of Etheostoma cragini (Arkansas darter), 102 nucleotides long. RefSeq lists it as uncharacterized. The record is from RefSeq and is a predicted model, not a curated record. The transcript has 3 exons. NCBI's taxonomy places the organism in Eukaryota, Metazoa, Chordata, Actinopteri, Perciformes, Percidae.